CCUGAAGAAAAAAAAAUGCAAUAAUUCAGAUUACAAUAAGACCAAAGCAACCAGUUCUUGUUCAUAAAAAAAGUAAAGAUUCAUGCGAGAGCAAGCAUACCAACUAAGAAGUAAAGAUUCAGAACAUUAUGGUUACUCCACAUGAUUCCGUAAAAUGAGAUUCUAUAUGAUAUUUGAUUAUAGUAUUAUAUAUAUGAAAAAAUGCAAUAAUUCAGAUUACAAUAAGACCAAAGCAACCAGUUCUUGUUCAUGAAAAAAAAGUAAAGAUUCAUGCGAGAGCAAGCAUAUCAACUAAGAAGUAAAGAUUCAGAACAUUAUGGUUACUUCAUGAUUCCGUAAAAUUGAUUCUAUAUGAUAUUUGAUUAUAGUAUUAUAUAUGAAAAAAAUGCAAUUAUUCAGAUUACAAUAAGACCAAAGCUUCGUAAAAAAAGGUAAAAGAUAACAUCAACGUAACCAGUG
Molecule: long non-coding RNA, 459 nt
Organism: Brassica rapa (field mustard)
Lineage: Eukaryota; Viridiplantae; Streptophyta; Magnoliopsida; Brassicales; Brassicaceae
Source: RefSeq, a predicted model, not a curated record